UACGUAGGGUGCAAGCGUUAAUCGGAAUUACUGGGCGUAAAGCGUGCGUAGGUGGUUUGUUAAGUCUGCUGUGAAAGCCCUGGGCUCAACCUGGGAAUGGCGGUGGAUACUGGCAAGCUAGAGUGCGGUAGAGGAGGGUGGAAUUCCCGGUGUAGCGGUGAAAUGCGUAGAGAUCGGGAGGAACAUCAGUGGCGAAGGCGGCCCUCUGGACCAGCACUGACGCUGAGGCACGAAAGCGUGGGGAGCAAACAGG
RNAcentral lists this ribosomal RNA (253 nucleotides) under uncultured bacterium. Its description in RNAcentral is "partial 16S ribosomal RNA". It matches the Rfam family "Bacterial small subunit ribosomal RNA", at positions 524 to 776 of the family's 1533-position model. The record is from RNAcentral.